Long non-coding RNA from Saccostrea echinata, 1009 nucleotides. RefSeq lists it as uncharacterized. NCBI's taxonomy places the organism in Eukaryota, Metazoa, Mollusca, Bivalvia, Ostreida, Ostreidae. The record is from RefSeq and is a predicted model, not a curated record. The transcript has 2 exons.
UAAUUAUGGUAUGUGGGAUCUCCCAAAGCUUAAACAAGCCUUAAGAGACAGAGGAGCAAGAGUUUCCGGGAGGAAGAGGGAGCUGGUAGAAAGGUGGAGAAGGUGCUCUGCUGUGCAAUGGGUGGUGUAGGCUUCAUCACAGGACACUCCGUUCCAUCAAUGAUCACCCUCGUGGUAGGAAACUGUCUGUUGAAGUCUGUCGGGGAAAAAAACUUUACAAGAUCUCUCUCCGGCCACAGGUCAACUUCUCUCCAUUGGCGUGACAUAAAAUUCACCCAUGUGAUCCAGAUAUUAGAUACUGAAAACUCUGAAAUGCUAAAAAGCCUACUCAGUUCAAAAUUUGUCUUAUGCUGACGAAGCUUGAUCAAAGUUAAAAAAAACUGAUCUGGGACACUGACAUUGUCUACUUGAGAAUACAAAUAAUUCAGAUUGUAAGCAGCUUCACCAAGUGUUUGCAAAACAAAUAAAAAGUCCUGAUAGGAAGACAGACCCGUAUAAAACAUAAUACCAGCAUUGUCAUUAGCAAAGUUUUCAAUACUGAAAAUGGGUCUUGGAGGUGUCUGUGUAGACGAGUCCACUGGAAAGGAAGAAGAAAGGAAAUCCAUGCUCUGGGUAGAGGAGAGUGGUACGUCAUGGUCAUCUUCAGUAGCCUCGAUGGUCACCUCGCUCUGGACUUCGUCACACAUUGACACUGAAUCCUCGCAUACCAGGGAAGAUGUGCCAUCACUGCAGUUCUCGUCUGGUGUGACCGUGCUGAUGUACUCUUUUCCCGACCUCAGUGUGCCACAUUCAGAGUCAACUAUCUGGAUUCGUCGCCAAGGAAAAAUGCUUGGGACAGCGUUGUCUUUUAACUGUUUUCUCAGUGGUGUAGUACCUAUUUUUGGAAAUUAAAUUAUAAGUGUUUGCAUGUAUUUUUUUUUUUUGACAUUGGUAAAUUACUUAAUUUUAAAGAUGCAUGUUGUUUAUUUUAAUAUCCUGAAUUUUAAAAUAAAACUUAAAUUAAAUCUUG